Clupea harengus (Atlantic herring) is the source of this 641-nucleotide long non-coding RNA. The record is from Ensembl. NCBI's taxonomy places the organism in Eukaryota, Metazoa, Chordata, Actinopteri, Clupeiformes, Clupeidae.
GAGGGUUAAUGGGCUGGUGUGAAGUGGUGUGGUGUGGUGAGGUGUGGUGUGGUGUGAAGGGAUGUGCUGUGGUGAGGUGUGGUGAGUUUUGGUGUGGUGUGGUGAGGUGAGGUGUGGUGUGGUGUGGUGUGGUGUGGUGAGGUGUGGUGUGGUGUGGUGAGGUGUGGUGUGGUGUGGUGUGUGGUGUGGUGGGAUGAGGUGUGGUGUGGUGUGAUGUGGUGAGGUGUGGUGAGGUGUGGUGUGGUGUGGUGUUGUGUGGUGUGGUGUGGUGUGGUGUGGUGAGGUGUGGUGUGGUGUGGUGUGGUGUGGUGUGGUGUGGUGUGGUGUGGUGUGAUGUGGUGUGGUGUGGUGUGGUGAGGUGUGGUGUGAUGUGGUGUGGUGUGGUGAGGUGGGAUGAGGUGUGGUGUGGUGAGUUGAGGUGUGGUGUGGUGUGGUCUGGUGUGGUGUGGUGUGGUCAGGUGAGGUGAGGUGAGGUGUGGUGUGGUCUGGUGUGGUGUGGUGUGGUCAGGUGAGGUGAGGUGUGGUGAGGUGUGGUGAGUUUGGGUGUGGUGUGGUGUGAAGUGGUGAGGUGUGGUGAGGUGUGGUGCGGUGUGGUGUGGUGUGGUGCGGUGUGGUGUGGUGUGGUGUGGUGCGGUGUGGUG